AUUUUUCUCUUCUACUUUCCUAAAUUGUAUAUGGUAUCAGAGCGGGUAGAUCUCGAGUGACAAUUAUCAAUUUUUUCUGUAAAACUGGUGUUGAGAAGGGAGAGAAGCCUUGUUCAAUUGCGAGAAUGGGAGAUUGCCAGAACAAUGGAGAGCAAGCUGCUCGAGGAUCAACUGAAAAAGAAGAUCAUAGAGUUCAGAAUUUUGACGAUCCGUUGAAUCUACAAAACUCAGACCAUCCAGGUAUGGUACUAGUCUCUGCACCUCUGGUUCGUAGUAACUUUCGAUCUUGGAGUAGAGCAAUGAAGAUUGCUCCUGGAGCCAAGCAGAAGUUAGGGUUUGUUGAAGGUAUAGUGUCGGCUCCAAAUGAGGGUUUUGAGACAUAUGAACAGUGGAAACGAUGUGAUUACAUGGUCACAUCAUGGAUAUUGAGUUCAAUAUCUAGAGAAUUGGUUGAGGCGUUUAUCUACACGCCCUUUUCCAGAGAGUUUUGGUUAGAUAUUAUUGAGAGAUAUGGGGAGAGUAACGACCCUUUAAUCUGCCAAUUACAGAGGAAAGUAGCUUCAAUUUCACAAGAUAAUAAUUCUGUCUUGGUUUAUUUCACUAGACUGAAGAAGCUUUGGGAUGAGUUAGGGUCUGUUGAUAUUCUACCUCUAUGUACUUGUGGUGUUUCAAAGCUUAUUGAUGAAAUUAACAAUAGGAAUAAGGUAAUGCAAUUCCUAAUGGGGCUUAAUGAUGAAUUUGAUCAAGUAAGAAAUCAAGUGUUGACGACGAAUCCUUUGCCUUCCAUUAAUAAGGCAUACUCUGCAGUUCUUAAGUUUGAAUCACAGAAACAAGUAUUGUCUAGUGUUUCUGAGUCUGCUGACUCUUUAGCCCUCUUCAAUAAAUCACAACCACAAUCACAAGUUGCUAGGAAGGAUAUGAGGAAAUAUGAUAUGAGGAAAGGGCAUUGUACAUACUGUGAUAUGGAUGGUCAUACCAGGGAAGGCUACUUCAAGUUGAUAGGGUAUCCUGACUAGUUUAAGGGUAGAAACAAGGGCAAUUCACUGUCUGGUUAGCAAUAUAAAGGUUCAUAUGGAAAUAGAAUGGUUGCUAUAGCUGAGAGUGUCUGUAAUCUGGAUAAUCCUCUAGAAGUUUUUUAUGAUAACUCCAGAAUUGAAGAGAUUAGUACUGUGUUGAAUUCUCUUCAACUAGAAAUUCAUAAGCUAGUGAAAGGGAAAACUGCAUUGGUGGCAGGAACAGGGCUAGGGCCAUCUUUCAUGUCACAAGUAGGAAUUUCUUCUAUUCAAAAUUUAAUUACUUUUGCUGGUAAUUUUGGUUCAGUGUGUACUUGUUGUGCUAAACUAUAUGUAGAUAGUGAGUGGGUAAUAGAUACUGGUGCCACAGAUCAUAUAACACCAUCUAAACACAAUUUCCACACAAUUCAUCACCUUACACAACCACUUUCAGUACAUUUAGCUGAUGGUAAGCUGGUCACAUUUCUUUACAUUCCAUAUUACCACUUCAAGAUGUUCUUUAUAUACCAAAUUUCCAGUAUAACCUAUUGUCAGUUAUCAAAGUUCUUAAAACCACAAAUUUGAAACUCAUUUUCUUUCCAACUUGUUUAUUUCAGGACCAACUGACUAAAGAUGUUGUUGUAGGGGGAAAGACAGAAGCAGGUCUUAACAAAAUUAAUAAACUGAGUUUUUCUUCUCAUACUAUAGAACUGGUUUUACUUACUAUUUCUCAACAUUUCACUCAAUUGAGUCCCUUUAUAAAUACCAUGAUCUUUAAGCAUCAAGGUAAUAAAGAGAGAAUUUCUUCUUCCACUGCUCAGAAUAAAAUCAAUGGUUGUAAACUUUCAUUUUCUUUAUUACAUUCUAGAUUAGGGCAUGCUUCUCUUGGGAAAAUGCAAUAUUUACAGGGAUUGUCAAUAGAAUCUGAUGACAAUUUCACUUGUUUGAUAUGUCCUCUAGCAAAACAGUCUAGGUUGCCUUUCUAUUCUAGUCAUAUCAAAACAGAACAUGCUUUUUCUCUCAUUCAUGUUGAUAUUUGGGGACCUUAUCCAAUAGAAUCAGUUACAGGGGCCAAAUAUUUUGUUACAAUUGUGGAUGACUUUACUAGAGCAACUUGGACUUUUAUGAUGCAUCACAAAUCUCAAUGUGCUACAAUUUUAUCCAUUUUCAUUAACAUGGUCUGAACUUAAUUUGGUGUUACUGUUAAGACUCUCAGGACAGAUAAUGGUGCUGAGUUUUUAAGUAAAGCUUGUGUUCAAUUGAUGAGUGCUAAUGGUAUUUUACAUUAGAAAUCAUGUCCUUAUACUCCACAACAAAAUGGGGUAGUGGAGAGAAAACGUAGACAUUUGUUGGACACUGCUAGAGCUUUAAGACUUCAAGCAAAAUUGCCAAAAAAAUUCUAGUCUGAAUGUGUGCUUAGUGCUACAUAUUUGAUCAAUAGAUUGCCUGUUCAACAAUUUCAAUGGGUUUGUCCUUAUGAGAGAUUAUAUGGUAGGCCUCCUGAAUACGAUCACUUAAGAGUUGUUGGGUGUUUAUGUUAUGCAACUAAUCUUUCACCUUAAAAGGAUAAGUUUGCAGAAAGGUCUAUUAGGUCUGUAUUUCUUGGUUAUUUAGGGAGCCAUAAGGGAUAUAGGUUAUAUAAUCUUAACACUGGGGGUAUAUUUGUGAGUAGGCAUUUUAUUUUCUUUGAAACAAUUUUCCCCUUUAAAGAUACUUUCUCUUCUGAGUCAGUUUCUAUUCAUGUUUCUGUCUUUGAUUCUUCUUCCUCUACUAAUUCUCCUGUCAAUUCUCUAAAUAUUUCCUCUCCAGUUAAUGAGUUAGUCCUAGAACAUAAUUUUAUUAAUUCUUCCUAGAACAUAAUUCUAUUAAUUCUUCUUCACUGUCCUUUGAAUCACCAGCACAUUCUUCCCUUGAACAUGUUACUUCUGUUCCUCUUAGAAGGUCUUCUAGGCAAGUACAUAAACCUAGUUGGCUUAAAGAUUUUGUUAAUUUAGCUACAUCAGCUUCCUCUUCUAGUCCACUUGCUUCUGCAUCUUCAGUCAUUACAUCACAUUCUAAUUCAGGUAUUGUUUUUCCUAUACAGUUUACCCCUUCCUACCACACUUAUAUGUGUAAUGUGUCUAUAAUUCAUGAACCUUCUACAUAUGCUCAAGCAUCAACAAAUGCAAACUGGAUUGAAGCUAUGUAGCAAGAGUUGUUAGAUUUGGAAAAAAAUAACACCUGGGAGUCGACUAUGUUACCUAAAGGGAAAAAGGCAAUAGGAUCUAAGUGGGUUUAUAAGGUUAAAUGUAAGCCCAAUGGAGAGGUAGACAGAUUUAAAGCCUGUUUGGUAGCAAAAGGUUACAAUCAGGUUGAGGGUUUGGAUUACAAAGAUAGAUUCUCACCUGUUGCAAAGUUAACUACAGUGAAAAUUUUUAUUGCCUUAGCAACAGCAAAGAGAUGGCCAAUUUUCAAUUAAAUAUUAAUAAUGCAUUCUUGCAUGGCUAUUUAAAUGAGGAAGUUUACAUGCUUCCUCCGCAAGGCUAUAAAAAAGCACAACCAGGUCAAGUAUGUUUGUUGAAAAGGUUCUUGUAUGGACUCAAACAAGCUUCAAGACAGUGGAAUCUGGAAUUCACAACAUUUCUCAAAGGUUUGGGAUUUCAAUAGUCUCAACAUGAUUAUUGUCUUUUCACUAAGCCUACUUCAACUUUCUUUUCAGCCUUGCUUAUAUAUGUUGAUGAUGUGAUUUUGACUGGCACUUCUAUUGAUGAGAUCACGGUUGUUAAAGAGGCCCUUCAUUCUAAGUUCACUAUUCAGGAUCUAGGCUACUUGAAGUAUUUCUUGGGGUUGGAAGUGGCUAGAUCAGAACAUGGCACUAUUAUCAGUCAAAGAAAAUUUUCAGCUGAUGUUCUGGUAGAUGCAGGAAUGUCUCAUUGUAAACCUACAUUUUCCCCUUUACCAAAGGGUCUUCAUCUUUCUCCUGAUACUGGUGAACCUCUUCCAAAUGGUGAUGUUUAUAGGAGAUUGAUUGGGAGACUAUUAUAUGUUAAUAUCACUAGACCAGACAUCAGUCAUGCUAUCCAACGCCUUAGUCAAUUCAUGACUGUUCCCCGUAAGCCUCAUUGGGAAGGAGCCAUGCAUGUUUGUAGAUAUUUGAGGUCUUCUCCUUCACAAGGGCUAUAUUUUCCAAUAGAGAAUGAUUUCAAGGUCACUGCAUACUGUGAUGCAGAUUGGGCUUCUUGCUCUUUUUCUAGAAAAUCUUUAACAGGUUUUUGUAUUUUCUUGGGCCAUUCUUUGGUUUCUUGGAAGACUAAGAAGCAAUCUACAGUUUCUAAAUCUUCUACUAAAGCAGAAUAUAAGGUUAUGGCCUCUACAGUUUGUGAGUUGCUUUGGGUGACUUAUAUCUUGAAAGAUUUGCAAGUUCCUGUUCAUUUGCCAGUAAGUCUUAAGUGUGAUAACAAGGCAGCUUUACACAAUGCUGCUAAUCCUGUUUUCCAUGAAAGAACAAAACACAUUGACAUUGAUUGCCAUAUUGUAAGGGAUCAGCUACAAAAAAGCUUCAUAUUUCCUUCUCAUGUUUCUUCUCAAUUGCAGCUGGCAGACAUUUUUACUAAGCCAUUGUCCAUUGAUCUUUAUCAGCAAUUUAUAUCCAAGUUAAAUUUGGUUUCCUUACCUAAUCCUACUUGGGUGGGGAGGGGGAUGUAGAGUAUUAUAGAGUAUAGUUGCUGAUGUAUUGUUAAUCCUGUUUUCCAUGAAAGAACAAAACACAUUGACAUUGAUUGCCAUAUUGUAAGGGAUCAGCUACAAAAAAGCUUCAUAUUUCCUUCUCAUGUUUCUUCUCAAUUGCAGCUGGCAGACAUUUUUACUAAGCCAUUGUCCAUUGAUCUUUAUCAGCAAUUUAUAUCCAAGUUAAAUUUGGUUUCCUUACCUAAUCCUACUUGGGUGGGGAGGGGGAUGUAGAGUAUUAUAGAGUAUAGUUGCUGAUGUAUUGU
RNAcentral lists this unclassified non-coding RNA (4963 nucleotides) under Hevea brasiliensis (rubber tree). Lineage: Eukaryota; Viridiplantae; Streptophyta; Magnoliopsida; Malpighiales; Euphorbiaceae. The record is from RNAcentral.